GGGGUUCUGACUCAGUGGUAGAGCGCUUGCCUAGCAAGCAUGAGGCACUGGGUUCGAUUCUCAGCACCA
Molecule: transfer RNA, 69 nt
Filed under: Ictidomys tridecemlineatus (thirteen-lined ground squirrel)
Lineage: Eukaryota; Metazoa; Chordata; Mammalia; Rodentia; Sciuridae
Description: Spermophilus tridecemlineatus (thirteen-lined ground squirrel) tRNA
Rfam family: tRNA
About the family: Transfer RNA (tRNA) molecules are approximately 80 nucleotides in length. Their secondary structure includes four short double-helical elements and three loops (D, anti-codon, and T loops).
Source: Rfam by way of RNAcentral